Long non-coding RNA from Tarenaya hassleriana, 361 nucleotides. RefSeq lists it as uncharacterized. The transcript is spliced from 2 exons. The record is from RefSeq and is a predicted model, not a curated record. NCBI's taxonomy places the organism in Eukaryota, Viridiplantae, Streptophyta, Magnoliopsida, Brassicales, Cleomaceae.
CUGAAAAAAAUAAAAAAUACAGCCUCUCUCUUCGUCGUCGUCUCGUGUUGUCUUUUUCUUCUGCGGAAGAACAAACUUCGUGUUUCUCUCUUCUCUUCUGCAACCAUUUCCGUACAAAUGAAGGAAUACUCCGGAAAACCCUAAUUUUAGAAAGGCGUAGAAAUUUCCGGUUUGCAGUUUGAAUUCCGAUGGAAAUGUGCGAAACUUUGCUGCUGAUUAUGUCACCCUUCUGGACGUAGAAUCGUGCUGUGAACAACGUUGGCAUUCAAUUUGAGCUUCAAAAAUCUCCUGUUCUUUCUGGGUCUCUGAACUUUCUCGGAAAGUUUGAUUCUUUAAGGUCAAUUUUCUUGCUCUUCUGUUC